UACGGGGGGAGCAAGCGUUGUUCGGAUUUACUGGGCGUAAAGGGCGCGUAGGCGGCCACCGCAAGUCGACUGUGAAAUCUCCGGCUUAACCCGGAAAGGUCAGCCGAUACUGCGGGGCUAGAGUGCAGAAGGGGCAACUGGAAUUCUCGGUGUAGCGGUGAAAUGCGUAGAUAUCGAGAGGAACACCUGCGGCGAAGGCGGGUUGCUGGGCUGACACUGACGCUGAUGUGCGAAAGCUAGGGGAGCGAACGGG
RNAcentral lists this ribosomal RNA (253 nucleotides) under uncultured bacterium. RNAcentral's name for it is "partial 16S ribosomal RNA". It matches the Rfam family "Bacterial small subunit ribosomal RNA", at positions 524 to 776 of the family's 1533-position model. The record is from RNAcentral.